Molecule: long non-coding RNA, 869 nt
Organism: Rosa rugosa (rugosa rose)
Lineage: Eukaryota; Viridiplantae; Streptophyta; Magnoliopsida; Rosales; Rosaceae
Exons: 5
Source: RefSeq, a predicted model, not a curated record
UCUUAAUUCACCGGUUUACUAGUCAUUUGGACAGUAAACGACAAUUUGAUUUACUUUUACUCUUUUUCGGUAACUUUAGUGGCCCUAAAAGUUGACUUUUUGUUCGGGUCAAAAUUUGAGAAAAUGUUCUUCAUGAAAGUUGUAGAGGACGUUAAACCGAGCGCGUGCAUAUGUGGUACGUAAAAAUCGGAGUUCGUAUGUGAAAGUUAUAAGCGAAAUACUAAAGUUACUGUUCAUAUAGUAAGUUUCUAUAAAUAGCCGAGUUACUGUGGUAAGUUUCCAUUUUCGGAAACUUACCGAGCCCUCUCCCUUCUCUCUCCCCGACCCUCUCUUCCUCUCCGACCUCUUCACCUUCUUCCGGCCAUAACUCCUCCAUCCGGCGACGGAUUUUGACGUAUAAGAUGUCGUUGGAAAGAUCUCUUCCUAUUCUGCAUUUCUGGGUUCGUUUCGUAGCUUAAUAUGAACUGUGGAAGGUGCAGCAACGAGAAGAAGAGGACGGUCACUGUAGCAGUUUUGAGUCAACGCCGAUAUUUUCCGAUUCCGGCAGUCUCCGGCCACCUAACUGGCAUCGAAGGGUUCUUGGAAUUUCUGGAAAUUUUUCACCGGCCAAAUUGGAGCUCUUCCAGGGCAAUGCCGCGAGCUACGGUUAAAUGAAGGAACUCGUUUGCGUGGUCGCCCAAUAGUACUUUUGCAGGCGAAAUUAGUUGAGGUCGGGCGUACAUGGAGUCGAGGCAUAGCCAACAGCAUUGCUUCCGCGUUUUGGGUAGCCUACUUUUAGGGGAAGUUCCGCCAAAUUUUUGGUAGAAUCUCUUCUAAAGUGGGCCCCGCAGGGCCACUUCGGAUUUCAGGGUGAAAUCUGGGGCGGGUCC